CUGAUGCAACAACGCCGCGUGAGGUAUGAAGGCCUUUGGGUGUGUGAAGCCUCUGUCCUAGGGGAAGAAAAAAAUGACGGUACCCGAGGAGGAAGCCCCGGCUAACUACGUGCCAGCAGCCGCGGUAAUACGUAGGGGGCAAGCGUUAUCCGGAAUUAUUGGGCGUAAAGAGUGCGUAGGUGGUCUACUAAGCGCGAGGUGAAAGGCAAUGGCUCAACCAUUGUUAGCCUUGUGAACUGGCAGACUUGAGUGCAAGAGAGGAAAGCGGAAUUCCUAGUGUAGCGGUGAAAUGCGCAGAUAUUAGGAGGAACACCGGCGGCGAAGGCGGCUUUCUGGAUUGUAACUGACACUGAGGCACGAAAGCGUGGGUAGCAAACAGGAUUAGAUACCCUGGUAGUCCACGCCGUAAACGAUGAGCACUAGGUGUCGGGACAUGAGUCUCGGUGCCGCAGUUAACGCAAUAAGUGCUCCGCCUGGGGAGUACGCACGCAGUGUAAAACUCAAAGGAAUUGACGGGGACCGCACAAGCAGCGGAGCAUGUGGUUUAAUUCGAAGCAACGCGAAGA
RNAcentral lists this ribosomal RNA (566 nucleotides) under [Eubacterium] saphenum. RNAcentral's name for it is "bacterial SSU rRNA". It matches the Rfam family "Bacterial small subunit ribosomal RNA", at positions 383 to 967 of the family's 1533-position model. The record is from RNAcentral. Lineage: Bacteria; Bacillati; Bacillota; Clostridia; Peptostreptococcales; Anaerovoracaceae.